CGAAGCUUAAGCCGAUAGGUGUAGGCGCAGCGAAAGCGAGUCUGAACAGGGCGUUCAGUCGCGGGCAGAAGACCCGAAACCGAGUGAUCUAGCCAUGGCCAGGCUGAAGGUGGGGUAACACCCACUGGAGGGCCGAACCCACGCCUGUUGAAAAAGUCGGGGAUGAGCUGUGGCUAGGGGUGAAAGGCCAAUCAAACUCGGAGAUAGCUGGUUCUCCGCGAAAUCUAUUGAGGUAGAUCGUCAUGUGUUACCCCGGGGGGUAGAGCACUGGAUGGGCUAGGGGGUCCCAAAAGACUUACCAAACCUAACCAAACUCCGAAUACCCGGGAGUAUAGCGUGGCAGACAGACGGCGGGUGCUAAGGUCCGUCGUCGAGAGGGAAACAGCCCAGAUCGCCAGCUAAGGCCCCAAAUUCUGGACUAAGUGUAAAACGAUGUGAGAUUGCCCAGACAGCCAGGAGGUUGGCUUAGAAGCAGCCACCCUUGAAAGAGUGCGUAACAGCUCACUGGUCGAGUGAUCUUGCGCGGAUAAUGUAACGGG
RNAcentral lists this ribosomal RNA (539 nucleotides) under uncultured bacterium. RNAcentral describes it as "bacterial LSU rRNA". It matches the Rfam family "Bacterial large subunit ribosomal RNA", at positions 641 to 1179 of the family's 2925-position model. The record is from RNAcentral.